UAUUGCACAAUGGGGGAAACCCUGAUGCAGCCAUGCCGCGUGUGUGAAGAAGGCCUUCGGGUUGUAAAGCACUUUCAGUAGGGAGGAAAGGGUGUAGUUUAAUACGCUGUAUCUGUGACGUUACCUACAGAAGAAGGACCGGCUAACUCCGUGCCAGCAGCCGCGGUAAUACGGAGGGUCCGAGCGUUAAUCGGAAUUACUGGGCGUAAAGCGUGCGCAGGCGGUUUGUUAAGCGAGAUGUGAAAGCCCUGGGCUCAACCUAGGAAUAGCAUUUCGAACUGGCGAACUAGAGUCUUGUAGAGGGGGGUAGAAUUCCAGGUGUAGCGGUGAAAUGCGUAGAGAUCUGGAGGAAUACCGGUGGCGAAGGCGGCCCCCUGGACAAAGACUGACGCUCAUGCACGAAAGCGUGGGGAGCAAACAGGAUUAGAUACCCUGGUAGUCCACGCCGUAAACGAUGUCUACUCGGAGUUUGGUGUCUUGAACACUGGGCUCUCAAGCUAACGCAUUAAGUAGACCGCCUGGGGAGUACGGCCGCAAGGUUAAAACUCAAAUGAAUUGACGGGGGCCCGCCACAAGA
This 577-nucleotide ribosomal RNA is filed under the name Shewanella sp. RNAcentral describes it as "bacterial SSU rRNA". It matches the Rfam family "Bacterial small subunit ribosomal RNA", at positions 362 to 930 of the family's 1533-position model. Lineage: Bacteria; Pseudomonadati; Pseudomonadota; Gammaproteobacteria; Alteromonadales; Shewanellaceae. The record is from RNAcentral.